GUCCACGCCAUAAACGAUGAGAACUAGAUGUUGGGAGGGUUAGCCUCUCGGUGUCGCAGCUAACGCGUUAAGUUCUCCGCCUGGGGAGUACGGCCGCAAGGUUGAAACUCAAAGGAAUUGACGGGGACCCCGCACAAGCGGUGGAGCAUGUGGUUUAAUUCGAUGCAACGCGAAGAACCUUACCUGGCCUUGACAUCCUCGGAACUUGUCAGAGAUGACUUGGUGCCUUCGGGAACCGAGAGACAGGUGCUGCAUGGCUGUCGU
Molecule: ribosomal RNA, 264 nt
Filed under: uncultured bacterium
Lineage: Bacteria
Description: partial 16S ribosomal RNA
Rfam family: Bacterial small subunit ribosomal RNA
Source: RNAcentral